Molecule: long non-coding RNA, 1260 nt
Organism: Gasterosteus aculeatus aculeatus (three-spined stickleback)
Lineage: Eukaryota; Metazoa; Chordata; Actinopteri; Perciformes; Gasterosteidae
Source: Ensembl
AUUUAAGAAACCAAACUUUUGCUCUUUUCCAGACUUUGAUAUUUUCUGCAGUGUUUGUGCCUCCAUCAGCACGCAACACUUUGAGGCAGCUGCCCACUAAUAAAACACUGUUUGAGCCUUUGCAGCUGAUUACCUCAUGGAUGGAUUAAUGAGUGGGCCUACCAAGGGGCCCCAGGGGUCAAAGGGCGUAAGCCUCACUCACUGUUAUAAGCAUUUUUCAUUUAAAGUCAUAGGACUCAGUCAAACCUGGUGACGUUAACUUCUUUCUUUCCUGAUUCUUUAAUCAUGAGUAUUUGCUGAUGCAGACCCUCUCUUGUACUUGUUACCAGCCCCAGUGACAGCGACGUCGGUAUUGUUUUCCCCAUGCAAGUCUGUCUGUGUGUGUGUGUGUGUGUGUCAUCACUGCGAAAUGUGGUACUGGAGAAGCCAACUGUAGCGGGAGCUACCACAGAAGCGGUUCUGAGGGAUUUGCCAAGUGUUUAUAGUUCUGUCAGUCUGUGACAGAUUUUGUCUCAGCGAUGGCAUUCUAACCUCGCAGGGUGCAGUUAUGUAACGGUGUAUAGGUGUGCAGUUGUGAUCCAAACGGAUGCAAUUUGGAGUCUUAACACAGUUGUACAGUAAAAAAUGAAGGCAGAUUUUGAAGAUGCGUGUGGUCAGAGGGAGCAAGGCGUUAGGGAGUAGGAAGUGAGGUCCUCUCUCUCCUCCAUCUCCAGUGCCAACAAAAUAGUUUCCACCAACAACAGAACUUUAGAGUAUAGUAGCAAGAUAGAGAAGGUUGGCAGCGGCGUCUGGUAUAGGUGGCGUCUGGGAUAGGUGGCGUCUGGUAUAGGUGGCGUCUGGGAUAGGUGGCGUCUGGGAUAGGUGGCGUCUGGGAUAGGUGGCGUCUGGGAUAGGUGGCGUCUUGGGUUUCAUAUUGUGUCACUCCUGUGACGCAAAUCAUUCGGCCCUCGUUAUUUCCUUCACAGAACAUGUAACCAAGCAAAUAAAAUCCACAGGAAUCACACAACAAAGGGAUUCUUCUGGUCCCCACACUUCUCUCAGCGAGCCUAAAUUGUUUUUCUGCUUUGAGAAAAAUUGUAACAUUUGUGACCUCAAAGCCUCAGUCUCAAAGAAAGGACCUUUUCAAUUUCCAAAUGUUGGUAACUCGAAAUAGUUUACAGUUGUAUAGAGUAUGUCUUAUUCCUUUUAUGAAGAAUUGAGGUAUUCAUUGUGAUUGAAAGAAGAACAGCACUCAUGUUCCCUUUCUUGUGUGUUCUGCAG